RNAcentral lists this transfer RNA (72 nucleotides) under Acidocella sp. MX-AZ02. It matches the Rfam family "tRNA". Rfam says of the family: Transfer RNA (tRNA) molecules are approximately 80 nucleotides in length. Their secondary structure includes four short double-helical elements and three loops (D, anti-codon, and T loops). Further hydrogen bonds mediate the characteristic L-shaped molecular structure. tRNAs have two regions of fundamental functional importance: the anti-codon, which is responsible for specific mRNA codon recognition, and the 3' end, to which the tRNAs corresponding amino acid is attached (by aminoacyl-tRNA synthetases). tRNAs cope with the degeneracy of the genetic code in two manners: having more than one tRNA (with a specific anti-codon) for a particular amino acid; and 'wobble' base-pairing, i.e. permitting non-standard base-pairing at the 3rd anti-codon position. Lineage: Bacteria; Pseudomonadati; Pseudomonadota; Alphaproteobacteria; Acetobacterales; Acidocellaceae. RNAcentral also lists the same sequence under 1 other name. The record is from Rfam by way of RNAcentral.
GAGCCUGUAGCUCAGUGGUAGAGCAUCCGACUUUUAAUCGGACGGCCGUGGGUUCGACCCCCACCGGGCUCA